Homo sapiens (human) is the source of this 148-nucleotide non-coding RNA. It matches the Rfam family "Metazoan signal recognition particle RNA". Rfam says of the family: The signal recognition particle (SRP) is a universally conserved ribonucleoprotein. It is involved in the co-translational targeting of proteins to membranes. NCBI's taxonomy places the organism in Eukaryota, Metazoa, Chordata, Mammalia, Primates, Hominidae. The record is from Rfam.
GCUGGGCGUGGUGGUGUGCGCCUGUAAUCUCAGCUACUUGGGAGGCUGAGGCAAGAGAAUUGUUUGAGCCCGGGAGGCAGAGGUUGCAAUGAGCAGAUAUCAUGCCAUUGCACUCCAGCCUGGGCAACAGAGCAAGACUCUGUCUCAG